This 550-nucleotide ribosomal RNA is filed under the name Haemophilus influenzae. RNAcentral's name for it is "bacterial LSU rRNA". It matches the Rfam family "Bacterial large subunit ribosomal RNA", at positions 1 to 581 of the family's 2925-position model. Lineage: Bacteria; Pseudomonadati; Pseudomonadota; Gammaproteobacteria; Pasteurellales; Pasteurellaceae. The record is from RNAcentral.
GUUGUAUAGUUAAGUGACUAAGCGUACAAGGUGGAUGCCUUGGCAAUCAGAGGCGAAGAAGGACGUGCUAAUCUGCGAAAAGCUUGGAUGAGUCGAUAAGAGGCGUUUAAUCCAAGAUAUCCGAAUGGGGAAACCCAGUAGAUGAAGAAUCUACUAUCAACAAGUGAAUUCAUAGCUUGUUGAGGCAAACCGGGAGAACUGAAACAUCUAAGUACCCCGAGGAAAAGAAAUCAACCGAGAUUUCGUCAGUAGCGGCGAGCGAAAGCGAAAGAGCCAGUAAGUGAUAACAGUAUGGUUAGGAGAAUGUGUUGGGAAGCACAAUCAAAGAGGGUGAUAAUCCCGUAUCUAAAAACCAUAUUGUGGUACUAAGCUAACGAGAAGUAGGGCGGGACACGUGAUAUCCUGUUUGAAGAAGGGGGGACCAUCCUCCAAGGCUAAAUACUCCUGAUUGACCGAUAGUGAACCAGUACUGUGAAGGAAAGGCGAAAAGAACCCCGGUGAGGGGAGUGAAAUAGAACCUGAAACCUUGUACGUACAAGCAGUGGGAGCC